UUUGAUCAUAUGUCUGUGUCUAGUGAAGUAUAUGAGCCCAUCUUACCUCUCAGACCUGGGACGACACCACCGCGUACAACUCGUGUAUUGUAGAACUGAGUUCGACUCCAGGUUGGCAGUGAUUCUAUCUGUGUUCUCUCCUGCAUCUCCAGGACCAACAACAGCAAAGGGGCCUACCUAAUGAAAAGGAUAUUUUCAUGGUGGGGAAUAUGAGUGAGCUGACGUGGAAUAGAAGAUGUCCGGUGCUUGUAUGUAUGUGCUUCUUUAUGUGUCUUUAAUCUGUGUGCCUCUGUUGUGUAUAUAUUCUGCAUCUGUGUGUGGAUGUCUCUGUGCAUGUCUUUAUGUGUGUCUCUCUAUGCCUGUGUCUGUGUUUGUCUGUGAAUGUCGGUAUGUGUGUCUGUGUCUGUGUGAAAGGCAUCUGCUAGCUCCACCAGGAAGCCUCACGAUCAUCCAGGUGAGACAUGAUUACAGGGCAGCCAAAUGACCAAUCGUUUCCCAGCUGAAUGGUAAUUGGACAUUUUAGACUCCAGGGCCUUGGUAUCCUCCACCACAGCUUCCUCUGCACUGUUACCUCACCACAGGAGAGUGACUUAAGCUACUUAUGGGUAAUCCAGCUUUCAGCCCCCCUCACCCACCGCAGCUGCCAGCCCCUCACUGGGCAGAGUUGGGUUUCUGCAUGAGGAUGCUGAUGUCUUCUCCCGUACCAUUUACAUCUUGGGGAGUUGACAGCCUUUGCCCGGAGCUGAAGCCACACCAUUAGGCCCCAGUACAUCAACCUUCAUCCUUCUACCACAAGUCUGGGGCUGGCAGCGUCCUCACCAAAUUGGCUUCUCUAGUUCCCUGGCCCAAAUUGAUUAAUCAUCAGGCAGUUUUAGCUAUCAGCCCUGCUGCAAUUGGCAUAUUUAUUUCUAAUCAGCUCUUAAAAAUGGCAUCAUUCAGAGGUGCUUAACCACAUUACUUAAUUCUCAGCCUGUAUUGCUAUUGAUUUCAAAUAUUCUCCUUCAGAUAUGGCUCAUCACUUAAUGCAGAAGUCUGUUUAUAUAAUAAUCUUAUCUGGUUACUAAAAUCUGUGAAAUCUCUUCAAUUGCCUCUAAUGCAAGAUUGGAGGCUGGUUGCUAAAUGAGUCAAUUUUACUUUAAUUUGGUUUAUUUACAGUACAUGUUUUAAUGCCGCACAUUCCCAUCUUCCACAGCAAAGCUGAAAAGAAAGGCAAAUAUAGGCGCAGAGAGAGGCAUGCACUUUUCUCUGUCUGGAGGAAUGGAGGAGGCCAGUUGGCAGGGCUUCCCAAAUGACAUGAAACUUUGGGCCUCUAGUGACCCGUUUGACAUGCCUACCAAGGCCCUCAAGGUCCACAGUAUUGGUACAGUUCUGUCAAGAGUGCCCAAGGAAUCACAUGGUCCCAGAUCUUCCAUUUUGUACAGGUGAGACAGCUGCUCACAAUGCAGAGUCUUCCCUAUCUGGGAAGUGGGGCUGAUGUAAGAUUUUUCCAGGUCCCUUGGGAAGACACCACCAUGAGACUCUGACGUCGAUGAGCAUGCAGCAAAGGUGCUGCACAACAUACCUCUGCCAUUUCCACUCCACUGGCAAGGCCCCCACAAGCACCAUUUCCUACUGUGCCCACACCUCUGCUCUGAGGUUGACUGAAGACUCCUGGGAGUUUCCUUUAGAACUACGGAGGCCUUUUGGUCUGCAAAGGACAGAGGCCAACAGUUCUAAGUUUGCCGAGUUUCCUAAGCUUUAAACUCUAAACUAUAGAGUGAGGCACAGCCAGUUCUCUUGGAAGAGCAAAGAUAGGUCCUGAGGUAGGAACUCAGACCUGAGGCUCACAGACCCUACAAUCUCUGCCUUCAAGUAUUCUUACAGCAUCUCUGUUCUUAACCAGAAACCUCUGUAUCAGUCUUCUGUCCCUGUGCACCAUCCUUCUCAUAGGCUUCUUCCUGGUCCUGCUCCCUCUGCCUGUGGAGAACAGGCUCUCGUGUCAUUGAUUAUUGGUGGCCUGAAGACCAUGUCCCUGGGACCAGAUGUCUGUCCCUGGUCCCGUCACCUGUGUCUGUGAUAGAGAACCCGGCUGCACUUCAAAUGCAAAGCUGGUAACAGCAACAUCUGCAGAAGGCUAGGGGAGCAUCAGGCCCUGGCUCUGAAUCACCCUUGCCUUCUAGAGACCCAAUUGGCAGAGUAAUCCGGAUGCCACCUCCUGGCACAGCAGUGGCCAGCUGUGCAGCCCGGGGCAAGCAACUUCCUCUCAGUGCAUCUUGGAUUCCUCCACAUUGGGCACAAAUGCUUCGGAUGGUAUUGGGAGUUGCAGAAAGGAGCCAGGGAGUGGCAAGCAAGGGCCCAGCAGGUCCUUGCCAGAUGCCUGUGACUGGCUGUACCACUCAACACCUGGAGGCACCCAUGUGUCUGCCCGGGCGUGUCUUCUAUCCCCUCCUUGGUUCUGCCCCUCUGUGACCCUCUCCUCACCCGAGUCUCAAAGCAUGGGUGGAUGGUUUGAUGUUAACUGGCCUGGAUGAAAUGCUUUCUGCUGGCAAUUGCCUUCAUUGCCUGCUAUAAAAUUACAUCUAUAUUUAAAUAUGCU
Molecule: long non-coding RNA, 2575 nt
Organism: Mastomys coucha (southern multimammate mouse)
Lineage: Eukaryota; Metazoa; Chordata; Mammalia; Rodentia; Muridae
Exons: 3
Source: RefSeq, a predicted model, not a curated record